GAAUGCUGACAUAAGUAACGAUAAAGCGGGUGAAAAGCCCGCUCGCCGGAAGACCAAGGGUUCCUGUCCAACGUUAAUCGGGGCAGGGUGAGUCGACCCCUAAGGCGAGGCCGAAAGGCGUAGUCGAUGGGAAACAGGUUAAUAUUCCUGUACUUGGUGUUACUGCGAAGGGGGGACGGAGAAGGCUAUGUUGGCCGGGCGACGGUUGUCCCGGUUUAAGCGUGUAGGCUGGUUUUCCAGGCAAAUCCGGAAAACCAAGGCUGAGGCGUGAUGACGAGGCACUACGGUGCUGAAGUGACAAAUGCCCUGCUUCCAGGAAAAGCCUCUAAGCAUCAGGUAACAUCAAAUCGUACCCCAAACCGACACAGGUGGUCAGGUAGAGAAUACCAAGGCGCUUGAGAGAACUCGGGUGAAGGAACUAGGCAAAAUGGUGCCGUAACUUCGGGAGAAGGCACGCUGAUAUGUAGGUGAAGCGACUUGCUCGUGGAGCUGAAAUCAGUCGAAGAUACCAGCUGGCUGCAACUGUUUAUUAAAAACACAGCACUGUGCAAACACGAAAGUGGACGUAUACGGUGUGACGCCUGCCCGGUGCCGGAAGGUUAAUUGAUGGGGUUAGCGGUAACGCGAAGCUCUUGAUCGAAGCCCCGGUAAACGGCGGCCGUAACUAUAACGGUCCUAAGGUAGCGAAAUUCCUUGUCGGGUAAGUUCCGACCUGCACGAAUGGCGUAAUGAUGGCCAGGCUGUCUCCACCCGAGACUCAGUGAAAUUGAACUCGCUGUGAAGAUGCAGUGUACCCGCGGCAAGACGGAAAGACCCCGUGAACCUUUACUAUAGCUUGACACUGAACAUUGAGCCUUGAUGUGUAGGAUAGGUGGGAGGCUUUGAAGUGUGGACGCCAGUCUGCAUGGAGCCGACCUUGAAAUACCACCCUUUAAUGUUUGAUGUUCUAACGUUGGCCCCUAAUCGGGGUUGCGGACAGUGUCUGGUGGGUAGUUUGACUGGGGCGGUCUCCUCCUAAAGAGUAACGGAGGAGCACGAAGGUUGGCUAAUCCUGGUCGGACAUCAGGAGGUUAGUGCAAUGGCAUAAGCCAGCUUGACUGCGAGCGUGACGGCGCGAGCAGGUGCGAAAGCAGGUCAUAGUGAUCCGGUGGUUCUGAAUGGAAGGGCCAUCGCUCAACGGAUAAAAGGUACUCCGGGGAUAACAGGCUGAUACCGCCCAAGAGUUCAUAUCGACGGCGGUGUUUGGCACCUCGAUGUCGGCUCAUCACAUCCUGGGGCUGAAGUAGGUCCCAAGGGUAUGGCUGUUCGCCAUUUAAAGUGGUACGCGAGCUGGGUUUAGAACGUCGUGAGACAGUUCGGUCCCUAUCUGCCGUGGGCGCUGGAGAACUGAGGGGGGCUGCUCCUAGUACGAGAGGACCGGAGUGGACGCAUCACUGGUGUUCGGGUUGUCAUGCCAAUGGCACUGCCCGGUAGCUAAAUGCGGAAGAGAUAAGUGCUGAAAGCAUCUAAGCACGAAACUUGCCCCGAGAUGAGUUCUCCCUGACUCCUUGAGGGUCCUGAAGGAACGUUGAAGACGACGACGUUGAUAGGCCGGGUGUGUAAGCGCAGCGAUGCGUUGAGCUAACCGGUACUAAUGAACCGUGAGGCUUAACCUUACAACGCCGAAG
This 1667-nucleotide ribosomal RNA is filed under the name Escherichia coli. RNAcentral's name for it is "bacterial LSU rRNA". It matches the Rfam family "Bacterial large subunit ribosomal RNA", at positions 1292 to 2925 of the family's 2925-position model. The record is from RNAcentral. Lineage: Bacteria; Pseudomonadati; Pseudomonadota; Gammaproteobacteria; Enterobacterales; Enterobacteriaceae.